Molecule: long non-coding RNA, 3683 nt
Organism: Beta vulgaris subsp. vulgaris (sugar beet)
Lineage: Eukaryota; Viridiplantae; Streptophyta; Magnoliopsida; Caryophyllales; Amaranthaceae
Exons: 5
Source: RefSeq, a predicted model, not a curated record
AGAGUUACGUUAGUUUUAACAAAGAAAAUUAGUUCUAGAGAUAGUGUAAUAUCCCUAAAAUUUAAACUUGCUAAUAAUAAUUAAUGGUUAAAUUUUUCCUUGAAUUAUAAGUUAUGACUGAAAUUUUGUUACUCUAUAUCCAAAUAAUGAUAAAAGAUAUACAGUUCUUUAAAUAAAUAUAUGUUGUAUAUAGUUAUGUAUUACAAGAGUUGCAAUAGUAACAAGUGAAGGUGAAAUCAAAUAAUUACAUUAGUAAAAGUAAUAAGAGAAAUAAUAAACAAAUUCAUUACUAAAGCUUUACAAAGUACGUCUAAUCAAAUAUCGGCUCAACUUGAUAGUAUAAAGAAUAAAAAAGGAAAAAAAAAGGAGAAAAAAGAAAGAAUAAUAAUAAAAAAAAAAAAAAAAAAACCAAAUGUCUACUCUAAUUUUAUUCCCCAUCGGUCAUCUUCAUUUUUCUUCACAUAAUAACUCAACAAUGGAGUUUUAAAUCAAGACAUAAUUUUUAUACACACAAAAACUCAUCUUCAUUUAAAAACUCCAAUCCAAACCAAACUCUCCUAAAUUUUCAAUUUUUCUACCAAUUUCAUCCACACAAUUCAGAAAAAUUAGUACUCAAAUAUGCCUAUAAAUAACCAUGAUUGCCUCCCUCAAAUCACCAUCAUAAGAAUUCCACCAUAUUCGCCGGAAACCGCCACCCACAACACCCCCUUAAGCUUACCUAUUUCCGCAAUACACACCACUCUCCCUGUUUCGAACCAAACCACCAGCCCACCACCCUUCGACCGACUACGGCAUCGCCGUACUUCUGCCACCACACGUACCACCCCACGUCGUCGCCUAUACUCGCCUCGUUUCUCUCCUCUCGUCCACCCUUUCUCUCUCUCUCUGUCUGUCUUUGUUUUCUUCUCCCUCCUCGUUGCGUCGUCGAGCCACCCCCAUCACUCUCGUGCCCUUUGCCGUAUUCACCACUGCCGCACCCGCGCCUCUCGACACUGCUGCUGGAGCUCCACCACGCCGUGCCCAGCCUUCCUUUCUUCCUCCCCAUGCUCAGUGAGCAGGAGGUAUGUCCAAUGCCUUUUUAUGUUUUAAGUUGUUAUUUGGGUUAAUAACAUCGUAGGCCCGAAUACCCAAACUAAACAUGCCUCUAAAUGGGCUCAAAUCUGAAUUUGUUUAGUAAGUACUUUAGCUACAUCAAUUCAUACUUCUACUUUGUUGGCUAAGUUUUAAUAAAAGAAUUUCGAUUAAUCAUGUUCGGUAAUAGUAAUUGUAAAUUUACUCUUGUAAUCUAAAAAUCGUAAAUAAAUAAUAGAAAUUUAAUGAUUAGCUUGGUUACGAUCAUUGAAAGUGUUUUUACAACUUAUUGAAGCUAAUUUACUUAUUAAAUUGAAUAAGGUACCUAGUAUUAUAAACAAAUGAUAAUUAUAAUCCUAUUAAUCAAGUAACAUAAGUAAAGUUAGUUAUAAAAACGUAAAUAAAGAAUAAUUCCAACAACGAUAUUCAAUAAUAAAAGUAAUACUAAUAACUAAAGGUCAUUUGUUAAAAUAAAUCGAAUAUUUAUAUUUUUGUUGCGUCAUUUCAUGGUUAGAUUAAAAGGAAAGGAUAUUAUAGCCUCCUUCAGCUUUCAAGGUUAUUAAAUAGGAAUCGAGGUAACAUCUAUUGCUAACACCCGCGAUCCCCUACAAAUGUGUUUGCGAAAUCAUUUUUGAAGGUUUUUGUGACGUGAUCUUCAUUAUGGAUUGUGUGACACUUAUAUUGUUUAUGUAUGAGUUUUUCAUAUAUGUACACAUAUGUUAUGAACUUAUGAGUUAUUGAUGCUCAAGUAUAAUUCACAAAAGAUCUAAGGCUUAUGUCGAUGAAUGCUAAAUAAACGAAACAUGAUAAAUGAAAGUGAAAAGAGGUUCUACCAGUAUAAUGUUACGCUUAUUAUCUACUUUAUAGUCGUGCACAUACCUUCGCACUCGUCGCAGACCUAACAAGGAAGAGCGCUCCUUGAGGGGUACCACAAGUUAUCUCCCUACUCUAUUUUUGUGUGAGUGGUGUAUCCAACAAGGAGAGUGCUCCCUGAGGAUCAUCGCAAGGUGGGAGACGUCCCGCAAGUCUAUACUCGUCAGUUGCCAUUUUAAAAGAUGAAAAGAUAAUGGAAACUUAUGAAGCAUCAAGAUGCUACUUAUAAUUGUUUACUUUGCUAUUAUUUCAUUAUGGAUUUGAAAUAUGUUUUACUAUAUUCUCUUCUCCCUAUUUGCAAAUAAAAUGAAUACUACUACAAAAAAGGGCAAACAUAACACCCCUAAAUUAACUCUUAUUUAAGCAACCGUUAUGUAAAGUCUAAAUUUAACGUUUUAAUCGUAGAACUGUUACCUUAGGUUGUAUUGAUAAUAUAUCACUUAACACUUAUCUUAGUGUGUGUUAUCUUUGCUAUGAAAUUAUUUUGUAAUGCUAUAAUUUUUUUUAUGAGAAUAAUAAAAAUUGUUAUCUUUGCUUAUUAUUAAUAAUAAUAAAUCUGUCAAAAUAAUUAAAUUAAAAAAAAUAAACUGUCAUAGCUAGAAAUUAGGAGCACUUACUAUGUAUCGUUGAAUUUUUUAUCUAAACCGCCCUUUUUAACUUCUAAGUUGUUGUUCCCAUGUCCCCCAUUACUUUGGAAGAAGUAAUUGACGGUAAAAGCAAACCAAAGAAAAAACGAAGAGAGAAAAAAACGAAGGAAGGAGAAAAAGUGAGAAACCCUAAGCCAUCGCUGCCCCGCCGAACCCGGCCAUUGUCGUCGCCCCCGUCGAACCCAGGCCCUCCGUUGCUGUUGCCCCGUCGGAAGCUAUCUAACCCAAUGCCAAGUUCUACUCACGUAUCAUCCUCUGGGACUAAUAAUCUAAUUAUCAUCACCACUGCUGCUAGAGAGAGACGAAAAUGAACAAGAAGAAGAUAUUUAAACUUGCUAAGGGUUUUCAAGGUAGAGCAAAAAAUUGUACAAGGAUAGCAACAGAGAGAGUGGAGAAGGCACUUCGGUACUCUUAUAGAGAUCGCUGAACCAAGAAGCGUGAUGUGCGCUCUCUUCGGAUUGAACGCAUCAGUGCCGGUACCCGUCAACAUGGUGUAAAUUAUGGUAACUUCAUGUGUGGGCUGAUAAAGGAGAAUAUUCAGUUAAACAGAAAGGUAUUGUCUGAACUUGCGAUGCACGAGCCUUAUAGUUUCAAAGCACUAGUGGAUGUAUCGCGCAAUGCUUUUCCAGGAAACAAAAUAGAACCCAAAAAGGUUAAUGGCAAAGGGGAGAAAGCGUGACAUGGUACCUCAAGAGAAUGCAACCUCGUAUAUCGAGUAUGAUGAUGAUGGUAAUAGUACUAUCAAGGCACUGGUCCAACCUAUUCUCAGGAGAAAAUUAAUGAACUCAGGGAGUUGUGGAUUACAUAUGUCGGAGAUCAACACGAAGCACAAAUGAUGAAUGAGUUCUAACUUUCCGCCUAAUUUUUUUAACCUUAAUCCACUUUUGGACAUACAUUAUAUUUUUUGAUUUGGAUAUUAAUAUCAUGUGGAUGUGGUUAUAGGAUAGAUUUGAUCUUGUUUAUGAUAUAGAUCAAUAUUGAUAUGUAUAUAUAGUAGUUUUUUUAGAAGUUUAGAUUUAUGAAUAUUAGUUGAAUUAUUUUGCAAUGUAAAGAAUUUUGGAAGUUUGGAAUAUCAAUUCAAUUUAUUGGUUA